RNAcentral lists this ribosomal RNA (484 nucleotides) under uncultured bacterium. Its description in RNAcentral is "partial 16S ribosomal RNA". It matches the Rfam family "Bacterial small subunit ribosomal RNA", at positions 28 to 507 of the family's 1533-position model. The record is from RNAcentral.
AUUGAACGCUGGCGGCAUGCUUUACACAUGCAAGUCGAACGGCAGCGCGGGCGUCGGCCUGGCGGCGAGUGGCGAACGGGUGAGUAAUGUAUCGGAACGUGCCCAGUAGUGGGGGAUAGCCCGGCGAAAGCCGGAUUAAUACCGCAUACGCCCUGUAGGGGAGAGCGGGGGACCGAAAGGCCUCGCGCUAUUGGAGCGUCCGAUGUCGGAUUAGCUAGUUGGUGGGGUAAAGGCUUACCAAGGCGACGAUCCGUAGCUGGUCUGAGAGGACGACCAGCCACACUGGGACUGAGACACGGCCCAGACUCCUACGGGAGGCAGCAGUGGGGAAUUUUGGACAAUGGGGGCAACCCUGAUCCAGCCAUGCCGCGUGCGGGAAGAAGGCCUUCGGGUUGUAAACCGCUUUUGUUCGGGAAGAAAUCCUCUGGGCUAAUACCCCGGGGGGAUGACGGUACCGGAAGAAUAAGCACCGGCUAACUACGUG